GUUAGUGUAGUUUAUCAAAACACUAGGCUGUGGUCCUAGAAAUAGAAAUACUAAAAUUUCUCACUUACC
RNAcentral lists this transfer RNA (69 nucleotides) under Acanthodactylus erythrurus. RNAcentral describes it as "tRNA-His". It matches the Rfam family "tRNA". Rfam says of the family: Transfer RNA (tRNA) molecules are approximately 80 nucleotides in length. Their secondary structure includes four short double-helical elements and three loops (D, anti-codon, and T loops). Further hydrogen bonds mediate the characteristic L-shaped molecular structure. tRNAs have two regions of fundamental functional importance: the anti-codon, which is responsible for specific mRNA codon recognition, and the 3' end, to which the tRNAs corresponding amino acid is attached (by aminoacyl-tRNA synthetases). tRNAs cope with the degeneracy of the genetic code in two manners: having more than one tRNA (with a specific anti-codon) for a particular amino acid; and 'wobble' base-pairing, i.e. permitting non-standard base-pairing at the 3rd anti-codon position. Lineage: Eukaryota; Metazoa; Chordata; Lepidosauria; Squamata; Lacertidae. The record is from RNAcentral.